CUCACAUGGAGCUGUGCUGUUCAACCACAGACGGAACAGUCUCAUACAGCACUCAUAGCUCAGGCUAUCUGCGCCCUGUGAACAGAAGGUGAUAUGGAUGGAUGGACUAGAGAACUCCAGUAUCAGAGCCUUCAAAUAUGCACACUUCGUCAGUGCUAAAUUCACUUCACAGAGCCAUUUACACUGAGUGCAAGAACAAUACAAAUGUUUAUGCAUUGAGAAGAGACUUUCACUUGUCUUUCACAAAUACUCAGCUCCACUUCAGUGGAUUUAGUUGGAUUAAGGUUUGAAUUUUAAGGAGAAUGAAUAAGCGCGAAUUCAAGGGCUUUCCAUGGCUUCACAGGAGCAUGAAGUGGAGUGCAUGGCAUCUAGGGAGAUGUACUGAUCCAAGGCCAUAUGGUUUGCUAUAUCACCGACAAGUGAAUGGCAGAGUUUCUUCUGGAGGAACAGAACCAAUACUUCACAGAAAACAGAGACAUUAUGAUUUCUUAAUAAUGGAGUCAUUCAUGACAAUGACACUGCCUCCGGUACAAAAGUCCCUGGCUGUGGAUAAGGAUGAAUCAACCUUUGACCCCGGUGGCUAACACAGGAGCCUCAUCGCCUGUAUUUUGAGGAAAAAAAAAAGUCACUGUGAUGUUGUACCAACAAUAAUAAAAUAAAGAACAAGUCCA
This 671-nucleotide long non-coding RNA is filed under the name Anser brachyrhynchus (Pink-footed goose). RNAcentral's name for it is "lncRNA (ENSABRG00000013949.1)". Lineage: Eukaryota; Metazoa; Chordata; Aves; Anseriformes; Anatidae. The record is from RNAcentral.